UAAUUUUUUAAGGAUGAUUUGAAAGGAGGAUUUACUUCUAGAUGUUAAAUAAGUUUCCCUACAAGAUGUACACAUGGAAGAAACAGCCACCGGGGAUGAACAACUUCUCAAGGGAAGCAAAGAGAAACAGAGCAACAGCCCGACUGGAACAUGUGCUGCGAAAAUGAAGGAAGAUCUGACUGCAGCUUCUGGAGCUCUUGCAGGGAGUGGGGAGAAACCUAGCAGCUGUUGCUUCAAUAACAAGCAACUGCUGGAUUAUUACAACUACUCCUUCCAAUUUGGUCCU
Molecule: long non-coding RNA, 286 nt
Filed under: Ictidomys tridecemlineatus (thirteen-lined ground squirrel)
Lineage: Eukaryota; Metazoa; Chordata; Mammalia; Rodentia; Sciuridae
Description: lncRNA (ENSSTOG00000032801.1)
Source: RNAcentral